AGAGUUUGAUCCUGGCUCAGAAUCAACGCUGGCGGCGUGCCUAACACAUGCAAGUCGAACGAGAAAGUGGAGCAAUCCAUGAGUAAAGUGGCGCACGGGUGAGUAACACGUGACUAACCUACCCUUGAGUGGGGGAUAACCUAGGGAAACCUGGGCUAAUACCGCAUAAUACCUUCGGGUCAAAGGAGCAAUUCGCUUAAGGAGGGGGUCGCGGCCGAUUAGUUAGUUGGCGGGGUAAUGGCCCACCAAGACUGUGAUCGGUAUCCGGCCUGAGAGGGCGCACGGACACACUGGAACUGAAACACGGUCCAGACUCCUACGGGAGGCAGCAGUGGGGAAUUUUGCGCAAUGGGGGAAACCCUGACGCAGCAACGCCGCGUGGAGGAUGAAGCCCCUUGGGGCGUAAACUCCUUUCGAUCGGGACGAUUAUGACGGUACCGGAAGAAGAAGCCCCGGCUAACUUCGUGCCAGCAGCCGCGGUAAUACGAGGGGGGCGAGCGUUGUUCGGAAUUAUUGGGCGUAAAGGGUGCGUAGGCGGUUCAGUAAGUCUUGUGUGAAAUCUUCGGGCUCAACUCGUAGUCUGCAUGAGAAACUGCUGGGCUUGAGUAUGGGAGAGGUGAGUGGAAUUCCCGGUGUAGCGGUGAAAUGCGUAGAUAUCGGGAGGAACACCUGUGGCGAAAGCGGCUCACUGGACCAUAACUGACGCUGAGGCACGAAAGCUAGGGGAGCAAACAGGAUUAGAUACCCUGGUAGUCCUAGCCCUAAACGAUGAUCGCUUGGUGUGACGGGUACCCAUCCCGCCGUGCCGAAGCUAACGCGUUAAGCGAUCCGCCUGGGGAGUACGUCGCAAGCUGAACUCAAAGGAUGACGGGGCCCGCACAGCGUGAGCAUGUGUUUAUCGACGCACGCGAGACCUACUGGCUCGAA
RNAcentral lists this ribosomal RNA (927 nucleotides) under uncultured soil bacterium. RNAcentral's name for it is "bacterial SSU rRNA". It matches the Rfam family "Bacterial small subunit ribosomal RNA", at positions 8 to 985 of the family's 1533-position model. The record is from RNAcentral.